CCUGCGCGCAAACUAGUGGCCUCGCCGCGCGCAGCCAGAGCCCGGCACUCACUUCUUAUCCCCGAUCCUCGGCGCGCAGGCGUGGCGUCCCGCGGGGACUGGAGGCGUCUUCCAGGUGUCGGCCUCCGAGCGUCCCGGAAGGUGAGAGGCGGGGUGAGGUCUGGCAGUCGCCUCUGCACCCGUAGCUGCGAGCCGCCCACCUUAAACCCGGGUCUGGGACCUCGGAGAGUCAGCCCGCCGCCCCGAGCGCUCACCAGGUGUCUGAUGCAUGUCUCCGAAUAAUAUUUUCAUGAAGAAUACAUGAAUGCUCUAUUUCCUGAGACUUUGAAUAUAUGGGGUUGUUCAUCUGUUGUCAUCACAUAAGAAGAAAAAAAUUUAGCUGAGAAAAUUCUUAGGUCAUAGUCUUUUCCUUCAAAAAAUUUAAAAAAUUUUUUCUGUUGUCUUAUGGCGUAUCUUAUUGGAGAGCUGAGAACAGCUAGAUUUUUGUUUCCUCAUAAAUAACUUGCUUUAUGGCAGAAUACUAGUAGAUGUGGUUUUUUCUUUAUACUUGCAUUCCUAAACGUUUGCCAGGGUAGACUUCUUUUCAUUACUAUCAUCUAGAAUGGUGAGUCCUUUCAAUUUGAAUAGUCAGGUCCUCUUUUUUAAAGUGAUACCUUUAAUUACUCUUGUUCUAAUUGUUGUAGUAUCUUCCUCAGAAACAUAUAAUUCUUAAAUAAAUCUAUCUAGUCCUCUCUCUCUCUCUCUCUCUAUCUAUCUAUAUAGAUAGAUGUGUUUGCGUAUAUGUGUGUGUAUGUCUAUACAUACAUACACACACAUAUAUAUAAUAUAUAUAUAUGUAGAGAGAGAGAGAGAUAAACUCUCACUCUGUGUCCCAGGCUGGAGUGCAGUGGUGUAAUCUCGACUCACUGCAACCUCCACCUCCAGGUUCAAGCAAUUCUCCUGCCUCAGCCUCCUUAAUAGCUGGGAUUACAGGGUCACAUCACCACAUCUGGCUAAUUUUUGUAUUUUUAGUACAGAUGGGGUGUCACCAUGUUGACCAGGAUGGUCUCGAUCUCCUGAAUCUUGUGAUCCACCCACCUUGGCCUCCCAAAGUGCUGUGAUUACACCAUGAGCCACCAUACCUGGCCCUAGCCUUCUAUUUUAUUCACUUGAAUCCUUUUUUCUUUUACCCACAUACCUAAAGAGAUCUUAAGUUUGUCUUACAUGUCACUGACUCCAGUGUCUGUCACAGUAAUGCUGCAGGAGUCUACGUUCCUGCUCCCAAUGUAGAUUUUACUUCUGCUGUUACAUUUUUAACAUCGCUGAAUUUUUAAAAGUAAUCUUCUCCCUUUUAUCUCAUUCUAAAGUCUUUUCACCUUUAGAAUGCCAAGCAGUUUUCUUAAAAUAUUUUUUAAAUUCUAGGAGCAAAUAAUUUUUAUAAUGAUUUUCUUUCUCUGAGUCUUUGAAGCAUUGAUCCCAUUCCUCUGCCCCUCAGGAGU
This 1478-nucleotide long non-coding RNA is filed under the name Callithrix jacchus (white-tufted-ear marmoset). Its description in RNAcentral is "lncRNA (ENSCJAG00000085781.1)". The record is from RNAcentral. Lineage: Eukaryota; Metazoa; Chordata; Mammalia; Primates; Cebidae.